Molecule: transfer RNA, 77 nt
Filed under: Acholeplasma brassicae
Lineage: Bacteria; Bacillati; Mycoplasmatota; Mollicutes; Acholeplasmatales; Acholeplasmataceae
Description: tRNA-Asn (GTT) (tRNA-Asn-GTT-2-1, tRNA-Asn-GTT-2-2)
Rfam family: tRNA
About the family: Transfer RNA (tRNA) molecules are approximately 80 nucleotides in length. Their secondary structure includes four short double-helical elements and three loops (D, anti-codon, and T loops).
Source: RNAcentral
GCCUAAAUAGCUCAGUAGGUUAGAGCACCUGACUGUUAAUCAGGGGGUCCUAGGUUCGAGUCCUAGUUUGGGCGCCA